CGCACAUUGCGCCCUUUGGUAUUCCGAAGGGCAUGCCUGUUCGAGCGUCAUUAUCACCCCUCAAGCCCCUCUGGGUUUGGCCUUGGACGGCUUGGUUCACCCCAACCGCCCCAAAGACAAUGACGGCGGCCUCGUGGGACCCCCGGUACACUGAGCUUCUUAACUGAGCACGUACUGGAUGUAGGGUGCCCGGGUCACAGUCCUCCUCCUUUUCACCUCGGUGGAAGGGAACUUUUUUUAUCAGGUUGACCUCGGAUCAGGUAGGAAUACCCGCUGAACUUAA
RNAcentral lists this unclassified non-coding RNA (283 nucleotides) under Melanoctona tectonae. RNAcentral describes it as "partial contains 5.8S ribosomal RNA, internal transcribed spacer 2, and large subunit ribosomal RNA". Lineage: Eukaryota; Fungi; Ascomycota; Eurotiomycetes; Chaetothyriales; Herpotrichiellaceae. The record is from RNAcentral.